RNAcentral lists this transfer RNA (75 nucleotides) under Mycobacteroides chelonae. RNAcentral describes it as "tRNA-Lys". It matches the Rfam family "tRNA". Rfam says of the family: Transfer RNA (tRNA) molecules are approximately 80 nucleotides in length. Their secondary structure includes four short double-helical elements and three loops (D, anti-codon, and T loops). The record is from RNAcentral. Lineage: Bacteria; Bacillati; Actinomycetota; Actinomycetes; Mycobacteriales; Mycobacteriaceae.
GGGAGUAUAGUUAAGCGGUUAUAACUCUUGGCUCUUACCCAUGAAUCCCAGGUUCGAUCCCUGGUGCUCCCACUA